UCGAAGGCUGAUUUCCCUUG
This 20-nucleotide non-coding RNA is filed under the name Arabidopsis thaliana (thale cress). The record is from RNAcentral. Lineage: Eukaryota; Viridiplantae; Streptophyta; Magnoliopsida; Brassicales; Brassicaceae.